UGAAGUUGGUUUGAAACAACAGAUUUUGGUUGAAGUUAGUUAGAAACAACAGAUUUUGGUUUAAGUUGGUUAGAAACAAUAGAUUUUGGUUGAAGUUGGUUAGAAACAACAGAUUUUGGUCGAAGUUGAUGAUUUCGGUUGAAGUUGGUUAGAAACAACAGAUUUUGGUUGAAGUUGGUUAGAAACAACAGAUUUCGGUUGAAGUUGGUUAGAAACAACAGAUUUUGGUUGAAGUUGGUUAGAAACAACAGAUUUCGGUUGAAGUUGGUUAGAAACAACAGAUUUUGGUCGAAGUUGAUGAUUUCGGUUGAAGUUGGUUAGAAACAACAGAUUUUGGUUGAAGUUGGUAAGAAACAACAGAUUUUGGUCGAAGUUGGUUAGAAACAACAGAUUUUGGUUGAAGUUGAUGAUUUCGGUUGAAGUUGGUUAGAAACAACAGAUUUUGGUUGAAGUUGGUUUGAAACAACAGAUUUUGGUUGAAGUUGGUUAGAAACAACAGAUUUUGGUCGAAGUUGAUGAUUUCGGUUGAAGUUGGUUAGAAACAACAGAUUUUGGUUAAAGUUGGUUAGAAACAACAGAUUUUGGUUGAAGUUGGUUAGAAACAACAGAUUUUGGUUGAAGUUGAUGAUUUCGGUUGAAGUUGGUUAGAAACAACAGAUUUCGGUCGAAGUUGGUUAGAAACAACAGAUUUUGGUUGUAGUUGGAUAGAAACAACAGAUUUUGGUUGAAGUUGAUGAUUUCGGUCGAAGUUGGUUAGAAACAACAGAUUUUGGUUGAAGUUGGUUAGAAACAACAGAUUUUGGUUGAAGUUGGUUAGAAACAACAGAUUUUGGUCGAAGUUGGUUAGAAACAACAGAUUUCGGUCGAAGUUGAUGAUUUCGGUUGAAGUUGGUUAGAAACAACAUAUUUUGGUUGAAGUUGGUUAGAAACAACAGAUUUUUUUCGAAGUUGAUGAUUUCGGUUGAAGUUGGUUAGAAACAACAGAUUUUGGUUGAAGUUGAUGAUUUUGGUUGAAGUUGGUUAGAAACAACAGAUUUUGGUUGAAGUUGGUUGGAAACAACAGAUUUUGGUUGAAGUUGGUUAGAAACAACAGAUUUUGGUUGAAGUUGGUUAGAAACAACAGAUUUUGGUUUAAGUUGGUGAUUUCGGUCGAAGUUGGUUAGAAACAACAGAUUUUGUUUGAAGUUGGUUAGAAACAACAGAUUUUGGUCGAAGUUGAUGAUUUCGGUUGAAGUUGGUUAGAAACAACAGAUUUUGGUCGAAGUUGAUGAUUUCAGUUGAAGUUGGUUAGAAACAACAGAUUUUGGUUGAAGUUGGUUAGAAACAACAGAUUUUGGUUGAAGUUGGUUAGAAACAACAGAUUUUGGUUGAAGUUGGUUAGAAACAACAGAUUUUGGUUGAAGUUGGUUAGAAACAACAGAUUUUGGUCGAAGUUGGUUAGAAACAACAGAUUUCGGUCGAAGUUGAUUAUUUCGGUUGUAGUUGGUUAGAAACAACAUAUUUUGGUUGAAGUUGGUUAGAAAUAACAGAUUUUGGUUGAAAUUGGUGAUUUCGGUUGAAGUUGGUUAGAAACAACAGCUUUUGGUUGAAGUUAGUUAGAAACAACAGAUUUC
This is a long non-coding RNA of Anopheles funestus (African malaria mosquito), 1613 nucleotides long. RefSeq lists it as uncharacterized. The transcript has 3 exons. NCBI's taxonomy places the organism in Eukaryota, Metazoa, Arthropoda, Insecta, Diptera, Culicidae. The record is from RefSeq and is a predicted model, not a curated record.